CAAGUCCUCCUCAUGUUUUUCCACAGCUUUCUUGAACUUUUUAGUCACACAUAUCAUCGAUACAUAUAUACAAACUUUUGUAUCGAUAAUUAACCGCUAGCUAGUUAAUUAAUGUGUGUUUUUGCUAAAAAGCUCAAGAAAGCUGUGGGAGGAAAUGAGCAUUCAUGGACUUCUUAAUGUGAAAUAUUGCUACCUAGCUACCAGAUCAAUAUAAUGCAUAUCGUGAACAACUCACUCACUCACUCAAAAAACCUCUUCAAAUUUUCAUUUGUUACAAAUGUAUCUCAAAAGGUGGAUGCACGGUGGCUAAUCUGUCAAUCUUGUAUAUACUUCUUUAAUUUUUCCAUAUAGAAAAUCAAAAGAAGACUCGGAUUUGCAAAUAAAAAAAUUCUGCAAAAGAGAAGAGAAGAGGUGCUCCGGAUGGUGAUGCCAAUUUAUGGCAGAGGUGCACCGGAGCAGAAGAGAAGACAGGGAGGAGGGAGGCGCCGGUGAGUUUUUCGUUUGUGUAGGUUUUUUGUUAUGGUAGAGGUGCACCGGAGCAGAAGAGAAGAUAGGGGGAGGGAGGCGACGGUGAGUUUUUCAUUUGUGUGGGUAUUUUGUUGAAUCGAGGUGAAUGAACCAAAAUAUUCUAAACUCAAAUCACACAACAUCCAUGGACGACGGCGGCGGCGGAUUAAAUGGACGACGACGACGGAGGUAGGUAUGGUGGCGGAGAUGGUGGCCGGGCAGUGAAAGGAGGGAGAGAGGUAUGGCAGUUGCGGUGGAUGGCGAGAGUGACGUGUGAAUGAGAUAUUAGUUAGGGUUACUUAAGUGUUGUUAAGCAUAGGGGUAUUUUUGGUAGGAAAAAAAGGCUGAAUUUUUUAAUCCAAUAUACUUUAAUAGGGAUUAUAGAUAGGUAUUUUUUUUUGAACAAAUAUCAUACGUAUUUUAUAUACUAACUUAAUUAUA
This is a long non-coding RNA of Erigeron canadensis, 948 nucleotides long. RefSeq lists it as uncharacterized. Lineage: Eukaryota; Viridiplantae; Streptophyta; Magnoliopsida; Asterales; Asteraceae. The transcript is spliced from 2 exons. The record is from RefSeq and is a predicted model, not a curated record.